RNAcentral lists this ribosomal RNA (560 nucleotides) under Pyrenochaeta gentianicola. RNAcentral's name for it is "eukaryotic LSU rRNA". The stretch from base 207 to 360 matches the Rfam family "5.8S ribosomal RNA". The record is from RNAcentral. Lineage: Eukaryota; Fungi; Ascomycota; Dothideomycetes; Pleosporales; Cucurbitariaceae.
GUAACAAGGUUUCCGUAGGUGAACCUGCGGAAGGAUCAUUAUCAAUUUUACAGUCCAUGGGAUGGGGGUAUAAAAGCCCCCAUCCUAUGCUGUUCAACCCUUUGUCUUUUGCGUACUGUAUGUUUCCUCGGCGGGUUCGCCCGCCGAUAGGACACUUCAAAACCUUUUGUAAUUGCAAUCAGCGUCAGAAAAACUAUAAUAGUUACAACUUUCAACAACGGAUCUCUUGGUUCUGGCAUCGAUGAAGAACGCAGCGAAAUGCGAAAAGUAGUGUGAAUUGCAGAAUUCAGUGAAUCAUCGAAUCUUUGAACGCACAUUGCGCCCCUUGGUAUUCCAUGGGGCAUGCCUGUUCGAGCGUCAUUUGUACCCUCAAGCUCUGCUUGGUGUUGGGUGUUUGUCCCGCCUUCGCGCGUGGACUCGCCUUAAAGUGAUUGGCAGCCGGAAUAAUUCUGGGGAACGCAGCACAACUGCAGCCUCCAUUUUACGCCGAGCGUCCAGUAAGCCUUUUUUCAACGUUUGACCUCGGAUCAGGUAGGGAUACCCGCUGAACUUAAGCAUAU